RNAcentral lists this ribosomal RNA (2861 nucleotides) under Rhodococcus (subgen. Prescottella) equi. Its description in RNAcentral is "Rhodococcus hoagii partial 23S ribosomal RNA". It matches the Rfam family "Bacterial large subunit ribosomal RNA", at positions 1 to 2630 of the family's 2925-position model. Lineage: Bacteria; Bacillati; Actinomycetota; Actinomycetes; Mycobacteriales; Nocardiaceae. The record is from RNAcentral.
ACAGUGGACGCGAGCAUCUUUGUUGUAAGUGUUUAAGAGCGUACGGUGGAUGCCUUGGCACCAGGAGCCGAUGAAGGACGUAGGAGGCUGCGAUAAGCCUCGGGGAGCUGUCAACCGAGCUGAGAUCCGAGGAUGUCCGAAUGGGGAAACCCAGCCACAGUGAUGUGUGGUUACCCGCGCCUGAAUAUAUAGGGCGUGUGGAGGGAACGUGGGGAAGUGAAACAUCUCAGUACCCACAGGAAGAGAAAACAACAUGUGAUUCCGUGAGUAGUGGCGAGCGAAAGCGGAAGAGGCUAAACCAUGGGUGUGUGAUAGCCGGCGGGCGUUGCAUUCGUGGGGUUGUGGGAUCCGUCUUGUCAAUUCUGCCGGAUUGGCCGACAGUGAGAAAUCAUCGUGUUAGUCGAAGUGGUCUGGAACGGCCUGUCGUAGAGGGUGAGAGUCCCGUAGACGAAAACAUGGUGACUGUCGUGACGGACACCCGAGUAGCAGCGGGCCCGUGAAAUCUGCUGUGAAUCUGUCGGGACCACCCGAUAAGCCUGAAUACUCCCUGGUGACCGAUAGCGGACUAGUACCGUGAGGGAAAGGUGAAAAGUACCCCGGGAGGGGAGUGAAAUAGUACCUGAAACCGUGCGCUUACAAUCCGUCAGAGCCUGCGCCACUUUUGGUGGGUGGGUGAUGGCGUGCCUUUUGAAGAAUGAGCCUGCGAGUUAGCGGCAUGUCGCGAGGUUAACCCGUGUGGGGUAGCCGUAGCGAAAGCGAGUCCGAAUAGGGCGUUUGUAGUGGCAUGUUCUAGACCCGAAGCGGAGUGAUCUACCCAUGGCCAGGGUGAAGCGACGGUAAGACGUCGUGGAGGCCCGAACCCACUUAGGUUGAAAACUGAGGGGAUGAGCUGUGGGUAGGGGUGAAAGGCCAAUCAAACUCCGUGAUAGCUGGUUCUCCCCGAAAUGCAUUUAGGUGCAGCGUCGCGUGUUUCACUCUGGAGGUAGAGCUACUGGAUGGCCGAUGGGCCCCACAAGGUUACUGACGUCAGCCAAACUCCGAAUGCCAGAGUGUGAGAGCGCGGCAGUGAGACUGCGGGGGAUAAGCUUCGUAGUCGAGAGGGAAACAGCCCAGAUCGCCGGCUAAGGCCCCUAAGCGUGUACUAAGUGGAAAAGGAUGUGGGGUCGCGAAGACAACCAGGAGGUUGGCUUAGAAGCAGCCACCCUUGAAAGAGUGCGUAAUAGCUCACUGGUCAAGUGAUCCUGCGCCGACAAUGUAGCGGGGCUCAAGUACACCGCCGAAGCCGCGGCAUUCACAUAACACCCAUGCGGGUCUACGGGCCUGUGUGCAGUGGUGUGGAUGGGUAGGGGAGCGUCGUGCAGCCAUGGAAGCGCCGGAGUGAUCCAGGUGUGGAGGCUGCACGAGUGAGAAUGCAGGCAUGAGUAGCGAAAGACGAGUGAGAAACUCGUCCGCCGAAUGACCAAGGGUUCCUGGGCCAGGUUAAUCCGCCCAGGGUGAGUCGGGACCUAAGGCGAGGCCGACAGGCGUAGUCGAUGGACAACGGGUUGAUAUUCCCGUACCCGUGUGAACGCGCCCCUGGUGAAUCAGUGAUGCUAAGCGCCCUGAAGCCGCCUUCGAACCUUCGGGUUCUCCGGUGUGUGGAUGCGCGUGAACCGAUCUGGUAGUAGCCAAGCGAUGGGGUGACGCAGGAAGGUAGCUGAGCCAGUCAGUGGUAAUACUGGUGUAAGCGUGUAGGGCGUGACCUAGGCAAAUCCGGGUCACACACAGCCUGAGACGUGAUGCGUAGCCGAUUGAGGCGAAUUCAGUGAUCCUAUGCUGCCGAGAAAAGCCUCUAGCGAGCUUUCACACGGCCCGUACCCCAAACCGACACAGGUGGUCAGGUAGAGAAUACUAAGGCGAUCGAGAUAACUGUGGUUAAGGAACUCGGCAAAAUGCCCCCGUAACUUCGGGAGAAGGGGGGCCUCGUCUGGUGACGGAACUUGCUUCCUGAGCUGGGUGGGGCCGCAGAGACCAGAGAGAAGCGACUGUUUACUAAAAACACAGGUCCGUGCGAAGUCGUAAGACGAUGUAUACGGACUGACGCCUGCCCGGUGCUGGAAGGUUAAGAGGACCGGUUAGCCAGUAAUGGCGAAGCUGAGAAUUUAAGCCCCAGUAAACGGCGGUGGUAACUAUAACCAUCCUAAGGUAGCGAAAUUCCUUGUCGGGUAAGUUCCGACCUGCACGAAUGGCGUAACGACUUCUCUGCUGUCUCAACCACAGACUCGGCGAAAUUGCAUUACGAGUAAAGAUGCUCGUUACGCGCGGCAGGACGAAAAGACCCCGGGACCUUCACUAUAGCUUGGUAUUGGUGUUCGGUUCGGUUUGUGUAGGAUAGGUGGGAGACUGUGAAGCGGGCACGCCAGUGUUCGUGGAGUCGUUGUUGAAAUACCACUCUGAUCGUAUUGGACAUCUAACCUCGGACCAUGAUCUGGUUCAGGGACAGUGCCUGGUGGGUAGUUUAACUGGGGCGGUUGCCUCCCAAAAUGUAACGGAGGCGCCCAAAGGUUCCCUCAGCCUGGUUGGCAAUCAGGUGUCGAGUGCAAGUGCACAAGGGAGCUUGACUGUGAGACUGACAGGUCGAGCAGGGACGAAAGUCGGGACUAGUGAUCCGGCACCGGCAAGUGGAAGCGGUGUCGCUCAACGGAUAAAAGGUACCCCGGGGAUAACAGGCUGAUCUUCCCCAAGAGUCCAUAUCGACGGGAUGGUUUGGCACCUCGAUGUCGGCUCGUCGCAUCCUGGGGCUGGAGUAGGUCCCAAGGGUUGGGCUGUUCGCCCAUUACGAGAGGACCGGGACGGACGCGUGCAGUUGUUCCGCAGGAGCA